GAAGGGGCGACUACCUGCAGUCGAACGGUAACAGGAAGCUUGCUUCUUUGCUGACGAGUGGCGGACGGGAGAGUAAUGUCUGGGAAACUGCCUGAUGGAGGGGGAUAACUACUGGAAACGGUAGCUAAUACCGCAUAACGUCGCAAGACCAAAGAGGGGGACCUUCGGGCCUCUUGCCAUCGGAUGUGCCCAGAUGGGAUUAGCUUGUACGUGGGACGGCUCACCUAGGCGACGAUCCCUAGCUGGUCUGAGAGGAUGACCAGCCACACUGGAACUGAGACACGGUCCAGACUACGGGAGGCAGCAGUGGGGAAUAUUGCACAAUGGGCGCAAGCCUGAUGCAGCCAUGGCGCGUGUAUGAAGAAGGCCUUCGGGUUGUAAAGUACUUUCAGCGGGGAGGAAGGGAGUAAAGUUAAUACCUUUGCUCAUUGACGUUACCCGCAGAAGAAGCACCGGCUAACUCCGUGCCAGCAGCCGCGGUAAUACGGACGGUGCAAGCGUUAAUCGAAAUUACUGGGCGUAAAGCGCACGCAGGCGGUUUGUUAAGUCAGAUGUGAAAUCCCCGGGCUCAACCUGGGAACUGCAUCUGAUACUGGCAAGCUUGAGUCUCGUAGAGGGGGGUAGAAUUCGAGGUGUAGCGGUGAAAUGCGUAGAGAUCUGGAGGAAUACCGGUGGCGAAGGCGGCCCCCUGGACGAAGACUGACGCUCAGGUGCGAAAGCGUGGGGAGCAAACAGGAUUAGAUACCCUGGUAGUCCACGCCGUAAACGAAGUCGACUUGGAGGUUGUGCCCUUGAGGCGUGGCUUCCGGAGCUAACGCGUUAAGUCGACCGCCUGGGGAGUACGGCCGCAAGGUUAAAACUCAAAUGAAUUGACGGGGGCCCGCACAAGCGGUGGAGCAUGUGGUUUAAAUCGAUGCAACGCGAAGAACCUUACCUGGUCUUGACCACAGAACUUUUCAGAGAUGGAUUGGUGCCUUCGGGAACUGUGAGACAGGUGCUGCAUGGCUGUCGUCAGCUCGUGUUGUGAAAUGUUGGGUUAAGUCCCGCAAGGAGCGCAACCCUUAUCCUUUGUUGCCAGCGGUCCGGCCGGGAACUCAAAGGAGACUGCCAGUGAUAAACUGGAGGAAGGUGGGGAUGACGUCAAGUCAUCAUGGCCCUUACGACCAGGGCUACACACGUGCUACAAUGGGGCAUACGAGAAGCGACCUCGCGAGAGCAAGCGGACCUCAUAAAGUGCGUCGUAGUCCGGAUUGGAGUCUGCAACUCGACUCCAUGAAGUCGGAAUCGCUAGUAAUCGUGGAUCAGAAUGCCACGGUGAAUACGUUCCCGCGCCUUGUACACACCGCCCGUCACACCAUGGGAGUGUGCAAAAGAAGUAGGUAGCUUAACCGUACGGGG
Molecule: ribosomal RNA, 1398 nt
Filed under: Escherichia coli
Lineage: Bacteria; Pseudomonadati; Pseudomonadota; Gammaproteobacteria; Enterobacterales; Enterobacteriaceae
Description: bacterial SSU rRNA
Rfam family: Bacterial small subunit ribosomal RNA
Source: RNAcentral